This 46-nucleotide non-coding RNA is filed under the name Pelobates cultripes (western spadefoot toad). It matches the Rfam family "Histone 3' UTR stem-loop". Rfam says of the family: The mRNAs of metazoan histone genes lack a poly-A tail. 3' end processing occurs at a site between a highly conserved stem-loop (modelled by this family) and a purine rich region around 20 nts downstream (the histone downstream element, or HDE). The stem-loop is bound by a 31 kDa stem-loop binding protein (SLBP - also termed the histone hairpin binding protein, or HBP). Lineage: Eukaryota; Metazoa; Chordata; Amphibia; Anura; Pelobatidae. The record is from RNAcentral.
CCAAAGGCCCUUUUAAGGGCCACCCACUAUAUCCUAAUAGAGCUGU